CAUGGUUGUCGUCAGCUCGUGUCGUGAGAUGUUGGGUUAAGUCCCGCAACGAGCGCAACCCCUAUUGUUAGUUGCCAUCAUUCAGUUGGGCACUCUAGCGAGACUGCCGGUAAUAAACCGGAGGAAGGUGGGGAUGACGUCAAAUCAUCAUGCCCCUUAUGACCUGGGCUACACACGUGCUACAAUGGUUGGUACAACGAGUUGCGAGUCGGUGACGGCGGGCUAAUCUCUUAAAGCCAAUCUCAGUUCGGAUUGUAGGCUGCAACUCGCCUACAUGAAGUCGGAAUCGCUAGUAAUCGCGGAUCAGCACGCCGCGGUGAAUACGUUCCCGGGCCUU
RNAcentral lists this ribosomal RNA (337 nucleotides) under uncultured Streptococcus sp. RNAcentral's name for it is "bacterial SSU rRNA". It matches the Rfam family "Bacterial small subunit ribosomal RNA", at positions 1044 to 1382 of the family's 1533-position model. The record is from RNAcentral. Lineage: Bacteria; Bacillati; Bacillota; Bacilli; Lactobacillales; Streptococcaceae.